UUUCUGCUGCUUGUCUUGUGGUAUUCAUGCUCCAGGACAUAAUAAGCUCAGCACAGUUCGUUUUCCAGGAUGGAGGCCUUUCACUUGAGUUCCUCUUUGUUGUGAGUCCUUCAGGAAUAAAAGCCUCCUUCAUCGGCUUGCAAGGAGGGAGUCUGAACUGAGUGUGACCCGCCAGCUUUGCAGCACUCGCUGUCCUUAGCAUAGGACACCCUUUCCAGAAGAGGAGUCUAGGGAGGACUCAGUGUCAUUCAAGCUGAGGAUAGCUUAUGGACACUCACCAUCCGUUCAGCCUCGAGAAAUGCAAAAUGAAGCUCCAAGAUCCAGAACAUGCAUCCCUUGAGAGGACCCUAUCACCAGAAAGAUCUCAGAAAAUGACAAGAGUUAUCUUGCUGUCUUCUCUGAGAGGGUAGAGGCCAUGCCUGAGUAAAAAGUCACGUUCCUGAGAAGCUGGUGGUUGAUCUUCAGCCAGGACGCUGAUGGAUGUGUACACAUAACUGAUGUUCGUGCAUGCUCGCUAAACCUACCGGAAAACUGCCUCCUGCCAGAUCCUUCCCAUUCCUCGAUCCAUCUCGGGCUCCCCACUGCUGUAGAUCUCUGGUGAAAUCCAGCUCCCUUCCCACCCUCUGCUGGAGAGCAGCCACUUUGGAGAUGGAGCAUGAAAGUGAUUGUGACAGAGCCAGGAAAUGCCAUCUUCCCGGAAAAGAUGAGGACGAUGAAGCUGGAGUGUCCAGGCUGUAAUCUGCAUCUUCUCCAACUUUGAGAAAGUAUACCCUCAACCUUCAGUCCCUGUUUCCCUCAUUGGACUUUUCUGCUCUGCUGUCCCAUGAGUUCAGCCACAUGUCACAAGAUGUCCAAUCCAAUUUAAAGUCACUCCAUGGAAGCUUAUAAAGUGUUUCUAUAUGGAGACCCCGUGCCUUGGUUUGAGCCCAGCUGAAGCAUGGAUUUCUUGGGUUUCAGAUGGACUUUCGUACCAUAUCUGAGAGGGAGAUUUCUGCUUGGAGUUCACAUUCAAGACAGGUUCACCUGGCAAUAAAGGCUCAGAGAUGGAGUUAUAGGAGAGAACAAUCAGUUAUGAUAUAGGUUGUCAGCUCCAUCCAUAAACUCAUGUGUUCAUUUA
Long non-coding RNA from Peromyscus eremicus (cactus mouse), 1117 nucleotides. RefSeq lists it as uncharacterized. Lineage: Eukaryota; Metazoa; Chordata; Mammalia; Rodentia; Cricetidae. The transcript is spliced from 3 exons. The record is from RefSeq and is a predicted model, not a curated record.